Molecule: ribosomal RNA, 1484 nt
Filed under: uncultured bacterium
Lineage: Bacteria
Description: 16S ribosomal RNA
Rfam family: Bacterial small subunit ribosomal RNA
Source: RNAcentral
UUAGAGUUUGAUCCUGGCUCAGGACGAACGCUGGCGGCGUGCUUAACACAUGCAAGUCGAACGAUGAUGCCCAGCUUGCUGGGCGGAUUAGUGGCGAACGGGUGAGUAGCACGUGAGUAACCUGCCCCUGACUCUGGGAUAAGCGUUGGAAACGACGUCUAAUACUGGAUAUGAUCACCGGCCGCAUGGUCUGGUGGUGGAAAGAUUUUUUGGUUGGGGAUGGACUCGCGGCCUAUCAGCUUGUUGGUGAGGUAAUGGCUCACCAAGGCGACGACGGGUAGCCGGCCUGAGAGGGUGACCGGCCACACUGGGACUGAGACACGGCCCAGACUCCUACGGGAGGCAGCAGUGGGGAAUAUUGCACAAUGGGCGAAAGCCUGAUGCAGCAACGCCGCGUGAGGGAUGACGGCCUUCGGGUUGUAAACCUCUUUUAGUAGGGAAGAAGCGAAAGUGACGGUACCUGCAGAAAAAGCACCGGCUAACUACGUGCCAGCAGCCGCGGUAAUACGUAGGGUGCAAGCGUUGUCCGGAAUUAUUGGGCGUAAAGAGCUCGUAGGCGGUUUGUCGCGUCUGCUGUGAAAUCCCGAGGCUCAACCUCGGGCUUGCAGUGGGUACGGGCAGACUAGAGUGCGGUAGGGAGAUUGGAAUUCCUGGUGUAGCGGUGGAAUGCGCAGAUAUCAGGAGGAACACCGAUGGCGAAGGCAGAUCUCUGGGCCGUAACUGACGCUGAGGAGCGAAAGCAUGGGGAGCGAACAGGAUUAGAUACCCUGGUAGUCCAUGCCGUAAACGUUGGGCGCUAGAUGUAGGGACCUUUCCACGGUUUCUGUGUCGUAGCUAACGCAUUAAGCGCCCCGCCUGGGGAGUACGGCCGCAAGGCUAAAACUCAAAGGAAUUGACGGGGGCCCGCACAAGCGGCGGAGCAUGCGGAUUAAUUCGAUGCAACGCGAAGAACCUUACCAAGGCUUGACAUACACCGGAAACGGCCAGAGAUGGUCGCCCCCUUGUGGUCGGUGUACAGGUGGUGCAUGGUUGUCGUCAGCUCGUGUCGUGAGAUGUUGGGUUAAGUCCCGCAACGAGCGCAACCCUCGUUCUAUGUUGCCAGCGGGUUAUGCCGGGGACUCAUAGGAGACUGCCGGGGUCAACUCGGAGGAAGGUGGGGAUGACGUCAAAUCAUCAUGCCCCUUAUGUCUUGGGCUUCACGCAUGCUACAAUGGCCGGUACAAAGGGCUGCGAUACCGUAAGGUGGAGCGAAUCCCAAAAAGCCGGUCUCAGUUCGGAUUGAGGUCUGCAACUCGACCUCAUGAAGUCGGAGUCGCUAGUAAUCGCAGAUCAGCAACGCUGCGGUGAAUACGUUCCCGGGCCUUGUACACACCGCCCGUCAAGUCAUGAAAGUCGGUAACACCCGAAGCCGGUGGCCUAACCCUUGUGGAAGGAGCCGUCGAAGGUGGGAUCGGUGAUUAGGACUAAGUCGUAACAAGGUAACC